GAUGAACGCUAGCUACAGGCUUAACACAUGCAAGUCGAGGGGAAACGACAUCGAAAGCUUGCUUUUGAUGGGCGUCGACCGGCGCACGGGUGAGUAACGAGUAUCCAACCUGCCCACCACUUGGGGAUAACCUUGCGAAAGUAAGACUAAUACCCAAUGAUAUCUCUAGAAGACAUCUGAAAGAGAUUAAAGAUUUAUCGGUGAUGGAUGGGGAUGCGUCUGAUUAGCUUGUUGGCGGGGUAACGGCCCACCAAGGCUACGAUCAGUAGGGGUUCUGAGAGGAAGGUCCCCCACAUUGGAACUGAGACACGGUCCAAACUCCUACGGGAGGCAGCAGUGAGGAAUAUUGGUCAAUGGACGAGAGUCUGAACCAGCCAAGUAGCGUGCAGGAUGACGGCCCUAUGGGUUGUAAACUGCUUUUAUAAGGGAAUAAAGUGAGUCUCGUGAGACUUUUUGCAUGUACCUUAUGAAUAAGGACCGGCUAAUUCCGUGCCAGCAGCCGCAGUAA
RNAcentral lists this ribosomal RNA (508 nucleotides) under uncultured bacterium. RNAcentral's name for it is "partial 16S ribosomal RNA". It matches the Rfam family "Bacterial small subunit ribosomal RNA", at positions 28 to 523 of the family's 1533-position model. The record is from RNAcentral.